UGGCGGCCUCGGGUCCAUCCCGAGGCCACGCCCGUCUGAGGGUCG
Molecule: ribosomal RNA, 45 nt
Filed under: Circassina frutis circassica
Lineage: Eukaryota; Metazoa; Mollusca; Gastropoda; Stylommatophora; Hygromiidae
Also listed under: 11 other names
Description: partial 5.8S ribosomal RNA
Source: RNAcentral